RNAcentral lists this ribosomal RNA (253 nucleotides) under uncultured bacterium. RNAcentral describes it as "partial 16S ribosomal RNA". It matches the Rfam family "Bacterial small subunit ribosomal RNA", at positions 524 to 776 of the family's 1533-position model. The record is from RNAcentral.
UACAGAGGGGGCAAGCGUUAUUCGGAAUUAUUGGGCGUAAAGGGCGCGUAGGCGGCCUUGCAAGUGGCGGGUGAAAUCCCUCGGCUUAACCGAGGAACUGCCUGCCAGACUGCAAGGCUCGAGACCGGGAGAGGUGAGUGGAAUUCCCAGUGUAGCGGUGAAAUGCGUAGAUAUCGGGAGGAACACCAGUGGCGAAGGCGACUUCCUGGCCUGUUCUUGACGCUGAGGCGCGAAAGCUAGGGGAGCAAACGGG